RNAcentral lists this ribosomal RNA (253 nucleotides) under uncultured bacterium. Its description in RNAcentral is "partial 16S ribosomal RNA". It matches the Rfam family "Bacterial small subunit ribosomal RNA", at positions 524 to 776 of the family's 1533-position model. The record is from RNAcentral.
UACAGAGGGUGCGAGCGUUGUUCGGAAUUAUUGGGCGUAAAGGGCGCGUAGGCGGUGCCACAAGUCACCUGUGAAAUCCCCGGGCUCAACCCGGGAACUGCGUCCGAUACUGGAAGGCUUGAAUCCGGGAGAGGGAUGCGGAAUUCCAGGUGUAGCGGUGAAAUGCGUAGAUAUCAGGAGGAACACCCGUGGCGAAAGCGGCUCUCUGGGACGGUACUGACGCUGAGACGCGAAAGCGUGAGGAGCAAACAGG